This 69-nucleotide transfer RNA is filed under the name Ictidomys tridecemlineatus (thirteen-lined ground squirrel). RNAcentral's name for it is "Spermophilus tridecemlineatus (thirteen-lined ground squirrel) tRNA". It matches the Rfam family "tRNA". Rfam says of the family: Transfer RNA (tRNA) molecules are approximately 80 nucleotides in length. Their secondary structure includes four short double-helical elements and three loops (D, anti-codon, and T loops). The record is from Rfam by way of RNAcentral. Lineage: Eukaryota; Metazoa; Chordata; Mammalia; Rodentia; Sciuridae.
GGGGUUAUAGCUCAUUGAUAGAGUGCUUGCCUUGCAUGCAUAAGGACCUGAGUUAGAUCCUCAGCACCA